CCUACGGGAGGCAGCAGUAGGGAAUCUUUCACAAUGGGCGAAAGCCUGAUGGAGCAACGCCGCGUGCAGGAUGAAGGCCUUCGGGUUGUAAACUGCUUUUAUAAGCGAGAAAUAUGAUGGUAACUUAUGAAUAAGGAUCGGCUAACUACGUGCCAGCAGCCGCGGUCAUACGUAGGAUCCGAGCAUUAUCCGGAGUGACUGGGUGUAAAGAGUUGCGUAGGUGGCAUAAUAAGUAGCUAGUGAAAUCUGGUGGCUCAACCAUUCAGACUAUUAGCUAAACUGUUAAGCUCGAGACCGUUAGGGGUAACUGGAAUUUCUGGUGUAGGAGUGAAAUCCGUAGAUAUUAGAAGGAACACCAAUAGCGUAGGCAGGUUGCUGGGACGGUUCUGACACUAAGGCACGAAAGCGUAGGGAGCAAACGGGAUUAGAUACCCGAGUAGUC
RNAcentral lists this ribosomal RNA (442 nucleotides) under uncultured bacterium. RNAcentral describes it as "partial 16S ribosomal RNA". It matches the Rfam family "Bacterial small subunit ribosomal RNA", at positions 338 to 795 of the family's 1533-position model. The record is from RNAcentral.